CCUACGGGAGGCUGCAGUGAGGAAUAUUGGUCAAUGGGCGAGAGCCUGAACCAGCCAAGUAGCGUGCAGGAUGACGGCCCUAUGGGUUGUAAACUGCUUUUAUAGGGGAAUAAAGUGAGCUACGUGUAGUUUAUUGCAUGUACCCUAUGAAUAAGGACCGGCUAAUUCCGUGCCAGCAGCCGCGGUAAUACGGAAGGUCCAGGCGUUAUCCGGAUUUAUUGGGUUUAAAGGGAGCGUAGGCUGGAGAUUAAGUGUGUUGUGAAAUGUAGACGCUCAACGUCUGAAUUGCAGCGCAUACUGGUUUCCUUGAGUACGCACAACGUUGGCGGAAUUCGUCGUGUAGCGGUGAAAUGCUUAGAUAUGACGAAGAACUCCGAUUGCGAAGGCAGCUGACGGGAGCGC
This 402-nucleotide ribosomal RNA is filed under the name uncultured Prevotella sp. RNAcentral describes it as "bacterial SSU rRNA". It matches the Rfam family "Bacterial small subunit ribosomal RNA", at positions 338 to 737 of the family's 1533-position model. Lineage: Bacteria; Pseudomonadati; Bacteroidota; Bacteroidia; Bacteroidales; Prevotellaceae. The record is from RNAcentral.